This 72-nucleotide transfer RNA is filed under the name Camelus bactrianus (Bactrian camel). It matches the Rfam family "tRNA". From Rfam's summary of the family: Transfer RNA (tRNA) molecules are approximately 80 nucleotides in length. Their secondary structure includes four short double-helical elements and three loops (D, anti-codon, and T loops). RNAcentral also lists the same sequence under 2 other names. The record is from Rfam by way of RNAcentral. Lineage: Eukaryota; Metazoa; Chordata; Mammalia; Artiodactyla; Camelidae.
GAGGGUAUAGCUCUAGUGGCAGAGCGCAUGCUUAGCAUACAUGAGGUCUUGGGUUUAAUCCAAGUACCUCCU